AGAGUUUGAUCCUGGCUCAGAACGAACGUUGGCGGCGUGGAUUAGGCAUGCAAGUCGAGCGGGAUUAACUCGUUUCAAUCCUUCGGGAGAGAAACUUGUUAUGAGAGCGGCGAACGGGUGAGUAAUGCAUGGGGAAUCUGCCUCUAAGUUGGGAAUAGCCUUUGGAAACGAAGGGUAAUGCCGGAUGUGAUCGUCUGCCGCAUGGUAGACUGUUUAAAAGCUGGGAUCUUCGGACCAGUUGCUUAGAGAUGACCCCAUGUCCUAUCAGCUAGUUGGUGAGGUAAUGGCUCACCAAGGCUUACGGGUAGCCGGCCUGAGAGGGUGAUCGGCCACACUGGGACUGAGAACUGCCCAGACUCCUACGGGAGGCUGCAGUCGAGAAUCAUUCACAAUGCGCGAAAGCGUGAUGAUGCGACGCCGCGUGGAGGAAGACGGUCUUCGGAUUGUAAACUCCUGUCAGCAGGGAAGAAUAAUACAUCGCUUAAUAGGGGUUGUAUUUGACGGUACCUGCAGAGGAAGUCACGGCUAACUCUGUGCCAGCAGCCGCGGUAAUACAGAGGUGGCGAACGUUGUUCGGAUUUACUGGGCGUAAAGGGUCCGCAGGCGGAUCGGUAUGUCGGAUGUGAAAGCUCACAGCUCAACUGUGGAACUGCAUUCGAAACUGCCGAUCUAGAGUACUGGAGGGGAGAAGGGAAUUCUUGGUGUAGCGGUGAAAUGCGUAGAUAUCAAGAAGAACACCGGUGGCGAAGGCGCUUCUCUGGACAGAUACUGACGCUCAUGGACGAAAGUUAGGGUAGCGAAAGGGAUUAGAUACCCCUGUAGUCCUAACCGUAAACGGUGUGCACUAGUCGUGGGUGGUUUACCCCCAUCCGUGACUGAGCUAACGCAUUAAGUGCACCGCCUGGGGAGUACGGUCGCAAGAUUAAAACUCAAAGGAAUUGACGGGGACCCGCACAAGCGGUGGAGCAUGUGGCUUAAUUCGAUGCAACGCGAAGAACCUUACCUGGACUUGACAUAUAGCUGCAUCCGACCCGAAAGGGACGGAGCCUUCGAGGGUGCUAUACAGGUGCUGCAUGGCUGUCGUCAGCUCGUGCCGUGAGGUGUUGGGUUAAGUCCCGCAACGAGCGCAACCCCUAUGUUUAGUUGCCAUCAUUUAGUUGGGCACUCUAGACAGACUGCUGGUGAAAGCCAGAGGAAGGUGGGGAUGACGUCAAGUCAGUAUGGUCCUUAUGUCCAGGGCUGCACACGUGCUACAAUGGGCAGUACAGAGGGAAGCCAAGCCGCGAGGUGGAGCAAAUCCCCAAAACUGUCCCCAGUUCGGAUUGGAGUCUGAAACUCGACUCCAUGAAGUUGGAAUCGCUAGUAAAGGCGUAUCAGCUACGACGCCUUGAAUACGUUCCCGGGUCUUGUACACACCGCCCGUCACAUCAUGGAAGUCUGUUGCACCCAAAGUCGCUGAUCUAACCUUUUUACAGGAAGAAGGCGCCUAAGGUGUGACCGGUAACUAGGAUGAAGUCGAAACAAGGUA
This 1528-nucleotide ribosomal RNA is filed under the name metagenome. Its description in RNAcentral is "bacterial SSU rRNA". It matches the Rfam family "Bacterial small subunit ribosomal RNA". The record is from RNAcentral.